UAAUGACUUUGCCAGCAGCUCAGGAUGCCA
RNAcentral lists this non-coding RNA (30 nucleotides) under Mus musculus (house mouse). Lineage: Eukaryota; Metazoa; Chordata; Mammalia; Rodentia; Muridae. The record is from RNAcentral.